RNAcentral lists this long non-coding RNA (203 nucleotides) under Vitis vinifera (wine grape). RNAcentral's name for it is "long non-coding RNA (VVIN_LNC007200)". Lineage: Eukaryota; Viridiplantae; Streptophyta; Magnoliopsida; Vitales; Vitaceae. The record is from RNAcentral.
GGAUGCCUCUAAUGACAAUAGAUUUCGACGGCUGUAACGGUACUCACCCGUUUUGCCUAGUAUAGCUCCCCUUUCCCCUCACGCAUUGAAGCCCUAACCCGCACCCUUCUCCAACUUUGUUGCUGCACCUCCACCUACAACCAUUGUCGGUGCUGACCCCGCUAGCCGAGAGGGAUGCCUCUGAUUCCAGCAGAUUCCGAUGG